This 498-nucleotide ribosomal RNA is filed under the name uncultured bacterium. RNAcentral describes it as "bacterial SSU rRNA". It matches the Rfam family "Bacterial small subunit ribosomal RNA", at positions 370 to 885 of the family's 1533-position model. The record is from RNAcentral.
AAUGGGCGCAAGCCUUAUCCAGCAAUGCCGCGUGGGUGAAGAAGGUCUUCGGAUUGUAAAGCCCUUUCGGCGGGGACGAUGAUGACGGUACGCGCAGAAGAAGCCCCGGCUAACUUCGUGCCAGCAGCCGCGGUAAUACGAAGGGGGCUAGCGUUGCUCGGAAUGACUGGGCGUAAAGGGCGCGUAGGCGGCGUGCACAGUCGGAUGUGAAAUUCCUGGGCUUAACCUGGGGGCUGCAUUCGAUACGUGCAUGCUUGAGUGCGGAAGAGGGUCGUGGAAUUCCCAGUGUAGAGGUGAAAUUCGUAGAUAUUGGGAAGAACACCGGUGGCGAAGGCGGCGACCUGGUCCGUGACUGACGCUGAGGCGCGAAAGCGUGGGGAGCAAACAGGAUUAGAUACCCUGGUAGUCCACGCCGUAAACGAUGUGUGCUGGAUGUUGGGCGGCCUAGCCGUUCAGUGUCGUAGCUAACGCGAUAAGCACACCGCCUGGGGAGUACGG